AUCAUUCCCUUCCCUGUCUCUUUUUUUUUUGUUUUUCUUAUUUGUAUAAUAAUCAUUAGAUUUUACAAUUUUAAAUAGCUUUUUCUUUCCAAAACCUUUGGACUGGACUAACCUGGAUCGGUCCGAUCUUGAUAACGCCGGUUUUAUAAAAAUCUUAAUAUUUUUUAGGGUUUAAACUUAAUUUGUACGAUCAUGGAUGGAUCAUCAU
Long non-coding RNA from Arabidopsis thaliana (thale cress), 208 nucleotides. RefSeq annotates it as other RNA. The record is from RefSeq. The transcript has a single exon. NCBI's taxonomy places the organism in Eukaryota, Viridiplantae, Streptophyta, Magnoliopsida, Brassicales, Brassicaceae.